AGUGAACGCUGGCGGCGUGCUUAACACAUGCAAGUCGAACGAGAACGGAAUAUAGCUUGCUAUAUUUGUCAGCUAAGUGGUGCACGGGUGAGUAAUGUAUAGAUAACCUGCCCUUAAGAAAGGAAUAACAGUUGGAAACGACUGCUAAUGCCCUAUAUGCCUUUAAUACAUAAGUAUGCAAGGGAAACGCUUUAGUGCUUAAGGAUGGGUCUGUAUGGUAUCAGCUUGUUGGUGAGGUAAUGGCUCACCAAGGCUAUGACGCCUAACUGGUUUGAGAGGAUGAUCAGUCACACUGGAACUGAGACACGGUCCAGACUCCUACGGGAGGCGGCAGUGGGGAAUAUUGCACAAUGGACGAAAGUCUGAUGCAGCAACGCCGCGUGGAGGAUGACACAUUUCGGUGCGUAAACUCCUUUUAUAUAGGAAGAUAAUGACGGUACUAUAUGAAUAAGCACCGGCUAGCUCCGUGCCAGCAGCCGCAGUAA
RNAcentral lists this ribosomal RNA (485 nucleotides) under uncultured bacterium. RNAcentral's name for it is "partial 16S ribosomal RNA". It matches the Rfam family "Bacterial small subunit ribosomal RNA", at positions 29 to 523 of the family's 1533-position model. The record is from RNAcentral.